ACUUCACAUCGCGGGAGCUCGCGCCGAAAGCGGGCUGAGAGGGCGGCUGGACCUGUUCGGGUCCGGUGCCGCCGACCGCACGAACCUGUCCGGGUAAUGCCGGCGUAGGGAGGAAUGCCAUGUCGGCG
Molecule: non-coding RNA, 128 nt
Filed under: Actinoalloteichus sp.
Lineage: Bacteria; Bacillati; Actinomycetota; Actinomycetes; Pseudonocardiales; Pseudonocardiaceae
Description: TPP sequence
Rfam family: TPP riboswitch aptamer (THI element)
About the family: Vitamin B(1) in its active form thiamin pyrophosphate (TPP) is an essential coenzyme that is synthesised by coupling of pyrimidine and thiazole moieties in bacteria.
Source: RNAcentral